Molecule: ribosomal RNA, 406 nt
Filed under: uncultured bacterium
Lineage: Bacteria
Description: partial 16S ribosomal RNA
Rfam family: Bacterial small subunit ribosomal RNA
Source: RNAcentral
AUUGAACGCUGGCGGCAGGCUUAACACAUGCAAGUCGAGCGAGCGGCGGACGGGUGAGUAAUGUCAGGGAAACUGCCUGAAGGAGGGGGAUAACUACUGGAAACGGUAGCUAAUACCGCAUAACAUCAGAUGUGCCACGAUGGGAUUAGCUAGGAGGUGGGGUAAGGGCUCACCUAGGCGACGCUCCCUAGAUGGUCUGAGAGGAUGACCAGCCACCCUGGAACUGAGACACGGUCCAGACUCCUACGGUAGGCAGCAGUGGGGAAUUGUGCACAAUGGGCGCAAGCCUGAUGCAGCCAUGCCGCGUGUGUGAAGAAGGCCUUCGGGUUGUAAAGCACUUUCAGCGAGGAGGCGUUACUCGCAGAAGAAGCACCGGCUAACUCCGUGCCAGCAGCCGCGGUAAUUC